GAUGAACGCUGGCGGCGUGCCUAAUACAUGCCAGUCGAGCGAACGGACGAGAAGCUUGCUUCUCUGAUGUUAGCGGCGGACGGGUGAGUAACACGUGGAUAACCUACCUAUAAGACUGGGAUAACUUCGGGAAACCGGAGCUAAUACCGGAUAAUAUUUUGAACCGCAUGGUUCAAAAGUGAAAGACGGUCUUGCUGUCACUUAUAGAUGGAUCCGCGCUGCAUUAGCUAGUUGGUAAGGUAACGGCUUACCAAGGCAACGAUGCAUAGCCGUCCUGAGAGGGUGAUCGGCCACACUGGAACUGAGACACGGUCCAGACUCCUACGGGAGGCAGCAGUAGGGAAUCUUCCGCAAUGGGCGAAAGCCUGACGGAGCAACGCCGCGUGAGUGAUGAAGGUCUUCGGAUCGUAAAACUCUGUUAUUAGGGAAGAACAUAUGUGUAAGUAACUGUGCACAUCUUGACGGUACCUAAUCAGAAAGCCACGGCUAACUACGUG
RNAcentral lists this ribosomal RNA (497 nucleotides) under uncultured bacterium. RNAcentral describes it as "partial 16S ribosomal RNA". It matches the Rfam family "Bacterial small subunit ribosomal RNA", at positions 28 to 507 of the family's 1533-position model. The record is from RNAcentral.